RNAcentral lists this transfer RNA (94 nucleotides) under Planobispora rosea. RNAcentral's name for it is "tRNA-Gln". The record is from RNAcentral. Lineage: Bacteria; Bacillati; Actinomycetota; Actinomycetes; Streptosporangiales; Streptosporangiaceae.
GAUCUCGUGGCCGCGGGGGUGGGUGACCUGCCGGGUUCUGGUCUCGGCGACGGCGACGUCCCAUCGCGCGGGGUCGAGCCCGGCCGCGAUCUCC